ACUGCAAAGUUUAAUCAUCAAGACAAUAAUUUCCCUAGCUGCAUGCUUGCUUAUAGUUACUGUCUAAUUGAAAUUCUUCUGACAAAGAGUUCAGAAGCAUAGACUACAGAACAUCACCCCUCCUAUUAAAAAGAGCUGUGCUGUGAGAAAAAAACUGGAGGCAGCUCUGUAGAGUGGUGUUCUGGAGGCAGCUUUGUAGAGUGAUGUUCUGGAGGCAGCUCUGUAGAGUGGUGUUCUGGAGGCAGUUCUACGGAGUGGUGUUCUGGAGGCAGCUCUGUAGAGUGGUGUUCUGGAGGCAGCUUUGUAGAGUGAUGUUCAGGAGGCAGCUUUGUAGAGUGGUGUUCUGGAGGCAGCUCUGUAGAGUGAUGUUCUGGAGGCAUCUCUGUAGAGUGGUGUUCUCG
This 401-nucleotide long non-coding RNA is filed under the name Salmo salar (Atlantic salmon). RNAcentral's name for it is "lncRNA (ENSSSAG00000109237.1)". The record is from RNAcentral. Lineage: Eukaryota; Metazoa; Chordata; Actinopteri; Salmoniformes; Salmonidae.